AGUAUAUCGAGGGCAACCUACACGGCCUGGUUCCCUGGCCCAAUGAUUUAAUCUACGCUGGACACUCUUAACUCUACGGGAGAAGCAGAGGCUAUAAUGUGUAACGGUCCUUUUUAAAUCCACAUACGAUAUCUAACUAUAAUCCUCUUGUAAUCUAUGCCAGUACAACCUGUAGUGCCUUGAGAAAAUAUAAAGAACAAGAAAAUAAAAAAUGAAAAAUGAAAAAUGACAAAUCGCCGAAGUGGAAACAAUUAAACCAUGCUCGUUACCCACUAGACGCCGCAUCAAUUCAUGCAGUCAUAAACAUUCGAAAAGAUAAUCCCCCUUAUAUCAUAACCACC
RNAcentral lists this small RNA (341 nucleotides) under Histoplasma capsulatum var. duboisii H88. Its description in RNAcentral is "Histoplasma capsulatum H88 hypothetical RNA". The record is from RNAcentral. Lineage: Eukaryota; Fungi; Ascomycota; Eurotiomycetes; Onygenales; Ajellomycetaceae.